GCUUGGUCUCUAUUUUUUAAGAAGGAGAACUGUUCUAGUCUGUGUUUAGUCAAUAGCAAUGCAAAAACAGAUAACAACAUUUUCCAACGUGCGAAGAGAACAAUGCCCUCCAUCUAGCAAGGAUAUUGGCAGUUUCCAUCACUCCCUAAAUUUCCUGCCUACAACUGUGACACCGUUAACCCAUUUCUCUUAAUUCUGUUUCUUUCAUUUCUCCUCUCCCCCCACUUCCUGAGCUCUAGACCUGAUGCAUAGUUACAGGAGCAAAGUAGAGAAAAACACUUUUUACAUGCAAUACCAAGUAGAAAGAAAAGAACUUUAGUAUGGAAACUGACUGCAAAUAUUUUCUUCUUUGCAUUUUGUUAAAAUAGGUCCCUAAGAAUUUUUAUUAAUACCAUCUUUGAUUUCAGGGAGAAUUUUACCAAGAAGCCAAGUUCCAAAUCAGAUGGAUUCUAAUCUGUCCUCCUUUUCUAGGACUAUGUGACAUCAAAUCCUUCUAAUAUUAUCUGCAGCUGACUUCAAGAUGUCUCUACUUUUUAUACAAAGCCUUGGACAUGAAUGGAAAUGAGGUGACCUAUAAUUUAAAGAGAAGUUUGAGUAGCUGCUUCUUAAGAAGACAAAUCAAAAAGGAAGAUUUAAGUGUAAUCAAGAUUAUGAUGCUUAUCAAAAUUUUUUUUAAUUUUUAAAAAUUUCUACGUGCAUUAAUAAAAAGAAUAUCAUGCUUCUUAUUCAUGAAGAUGAUGAAACACUGGCGUUGAUUAUCAAAAGAGAAAUACUGUCAAACCAUCCCUCAGAGUUAUAUUCUUUUAAUUAGAAAAAAAUUUAAUAAAAAAGACAUUUUUGGACUUAA
Molecule: long non-coding RNA, 847 nt
Organism: Mirounga angustirostris (Northern elephant seal)
Lineage: Eukaryota; Metazoa; Chordata; Mammalia; Carnivora; Phocidae
Exons: 2
Source: RefSeq, a predicted model, not a curated record